Molecule: long non-coding RNA, 2132 nt
Organism: Antechinus flavipes (yellow-footed antechinus)
Lineage: Eukaryota; Metazoa; Chordata; Mammalia; Dasyuromorphia; Dasyuridae
Exons: 3
Source: RefSeq, a predicted model, not a curated record
UCUUUUUCUCUUUCAUUCCUCUUUUUUUCUCUUUCUAUCUCUUUCAUUCUCUCUCUUUUUCUCUUUCUUUCUCUUUCAUUCUCUCUCUUUUUCUCUUUCUUUCUCUCUCUUUUUGGAAGUUUCCAUAAUCUGACCCUUUUAAAUCACACUUUUUCUUUUCCUUCUUUCAUUCUUUCUUUGUCUCUCUGUCUUUGUCUUUCUCUCUGUUUGUCUGCAUCAGUCUCUCUGUCUUUUUCUCUUUCUCUUUUCUCUACAACUGGUCCACCUACUUGUUUUUCACUGGCUCAACUUUGAAGGCAAAAUGAUACAUUUCACUUAAGCCAGAUGGGCUAUGAUUUCUAUAAUAGAGGCCUAUGACCCUCUCUAAACUUAGGCAUCAACAUUCAUCUUUACAUAAUUACUUAAUUACCUAAGAUACUCUUUAGUUCUGAUUUUUCUCUUCUAUGGUCCCACCCUACAUAUCUACUUUCUCAAGAUGAAUUGAGAGACCAGUUCCUGGGCCAAAGGAAUCAAUCUCCUUUUUUUUUUUUUUUUUUUUUUUUUUGCAUUUAGGUUUUCUACCACUUCUUGCUAAGGGCAAUGGGUUAUUUGUCCUGGUUGGGCCUUUCUCUCGAGCAUGAGUAAAGUUUUGAGACUCAAAAGUCAUACAAGUACUUUGCAAACUUAAAGCACCACACGAAUGCCAAUUUAUUAUUAUUAUCAUCAUCAUUAUUAUUAUUAGCCUACAUUCACCAAACCUCUGGUCUAGUGAUAACCUCAUUCAUUGAGUCUCCUAUAACUCUCGUGCUGAACUUACAAUAUUUACCAGGCACGAGAGGAAUGUGCUGAUAAAUACUUAAAAACCUGGCAUCGGAGGAGGAGGAGUAGAAGAAGGAAAUGUAUGCUCACACACUUUUAAGUUGAAUCUACAUUAUUAAUACUUUCUUAAGUCUAGACAAUGAACAAAACAAUAAAUCAAGCUCUGAAUUAUAAGGAAUGCUGAUUUCUGAGGUGUAAGUACUUAUACUGAAAAUCUAACAAUGGAACUUCUAAGCCAGUCAAAGCUGGCUCCUGCACACCACUUGGUAUGCAUAUAGGACUUAAGUAAUAUAUGUUUUUGUAAUUCAUAAAUGAAAACAAUAUGGACACAAAGAAUGUCAAGAUAUUCUCAUCUGACCUCUCAACACUGCAGAAUCAAGUCACUACCAGUACUCAAACUGUUCACUUUGAAGGAUUUUUUCCUUUCUGAAAGGGAAAUAAUGGUGGAAUACCUGGAAGAGCUCACUCCCUUGUUGUAAUCUCAGUCUGUUCCUUUGGAACAACCCUUUAUUUGGUUUCUAUGGCAACUGGCAAGGAUAGCUGGAACUAAAGAUGGAAAACAUAUACUAAGCACUCAAACCCUUACAAAGUCCCAUAAAGAAAAAUGCUCAGAGUUGAAAGAGAUCUCUAAGGGCAUCUAACCCACCAUGUACCAGAAGAAGAACUCUUCAGGACUCCAACAAAUGGUCAUCCAACCUAUAUUUGAAGGCAUUCAGUGAUGGAGAACUCAUUGUUUCCCAAGUCAAGUAAAUAAACAUUUAUUAAAUGUCUAUCAUUUGCCAAUAGUCUGCUAAAAGCUGAAGAUACUAAGAAAGGCAAAAAUAGUCCCUGUUCUCAAGUGUUCUCAUAGUCUAUUUCAAUUUGGACAGAUUUAAUUGUUAGGAAGUAUUUCUUCAUGUUGAACACUACUCAGGAACAGGCAACUACAAUUCCAAGAAUAUUAACUAAAUUAAACUUCCCAUCAUGAUUCUUUUUGUGAUAACAUUUGGCCACUAGGAUCUGGAUCGAGAACAUAAAAAUCAUCUUGCAGCUGCUAGAUAUUUCAUAUAUGCGCUUUUGACCUUCAAGCUGAGCAGCUAAAGAAUACAGAAAAAUCCCACUUGACCUCAGAAAUGAAAGUUACAUAGAUUGCAUCGGAGCUAUGGAGCUUUCAAGAAGACUGAAGGAAUCAUUCAAAACAAAGCAAAUCCAAGCCCACUCUUACUCUUCCCCACCCCCAUCCUUAUGCUGAUAAUGAAGAAAUUUUAAUUAUCAAUUCACCAUUUUGACAUUUUUAUUUAGACAAUUAUUCUCUAAAAGGAAGAAUAAAGUUCCCACCAGAAACAGAGUCCUUA